GACGAACGCUGGCGGCGUGCUUAACACAUGCAAGUCGAACGGUGAAGGGACCGGUUUUUGCUGGUUCUGGAUGAGUGGCGAACGGGUGAGUAACACGUGAGUAACCUGCCCCCUUCUUCUGGAUAACCGCAUGAAAGUGUGGCUAAUACGGGAUAUUCUGCGCCUGCUGCAUGGUGGGUGUGGGAAAGAUAUUGUUUCGGUGGGGGAUGGGCUCGCGGCCUAUCAGCUUGUUGGUGGGGUGAUGGCCUACCAAGGCGGUGACGGGUAGCCGGCCUGAGAGGGUCGACGGCCUUGCGAGGACUGGGACACGGACCAGACUCAUACGGGAGGCAGCAGUGGUGAAUAUUGCACAAUGGGCGAUAGCAUGAUGCAGCGACGCGGCGUGAGGGAUGGGGGCCUUCGGGUUGUAAACCUCUUUCGCCAGUGAAGCAGGCCUGUCCCUUUUGUGGGUGGGUUGACGGUAGCUGGAUAAGAAGCGCCGGCUAACUACGUG
Molecule: ribosomal RNA, 493 nt
Filed under: uncultured bacterium
Lineage: Bacteria
Description: partial 16S ribosomal RNA
Rfam family: Bacterial small subunit ribosomal RNA
Source: RNAcentral